GACAGAGGGUGCAAACGUUGCUCGGAAUCACUGGGCGUAAAGGGCGUGUAGGCGGAUAGGUAAGUCGGGCGUGAAAUCCCCGGGCUCAACCUGGGAACUGCAUCUGUGACUGUAUAGCUAGAGUACGGUAGAGGGGGAUGGAAUUCCGCGUGUAGCAGUGAAAUGCGUAGAUAUGCGGAGGAACACCGAUGGCGAAGGCAAUCCCCUGGACCUGUACUGACGCUCAUGCACGAAAGCGUGGGGAGCAAACAGG
This 253-nucleotide ribosomal RNA is filed under the name uncultured bacterium. RNAcentral's name for it is "partial 16S ribosomal RNA". It matches the Rfam family "Bacterial small subunit ribosomal RNA", at positions 524 to 776 of the family's 1533-position model. The record is from RNAcentral.